GACAACAGUCGUUAAACUGUGAAGUUGGUCUGUAACGCAAUAACCCCUGUCAAUUCUUUCCUGUUCAUAUAUAAGGUAGUCUGCAUGGCCAACACACCGGUAAGGACAGCCCUAGGGAAUAGCUGUACAUUGUAGUCACCGAUAAGCCGUGUUCGGAGGUAAAGGGAAAGAACUUCGAGUGACCAUGUCCGCGCGACCUCUGUCUAGCGUCAGCACACGGACCACGGCCAGUGCCUCAUCUGCAUCACUCCCUGCUCAUCAGUCGUGGGCCCCAUUCAGUGGGCCUGUCAUGUUUACAGGGCCCAGUGGGUUGAGAGAUCAGCGGGUCAACGUUCACGAUAAAUUCCAAUCAGUGGGCAUCGGCGCGCGAUCGAUGGAGACGACCAACAAUAUAUCCUAUCUGAACCGAAGCCCGCCGGCAAGCAAUUUUCCCCGAGCUAAGCACGGACAGAUAGGCGAGAUUGGCUGGGAAUUUGAGACGUUCGGCCUUGUGAAGGGGAUCUAAGAACUGGGACACACCCAUCUGACAUGACCCCCCUCCCGUGGAUGUCUCGAGGGUCACUGUUUGCCUUUGAUCUUUUUCAGAACAAUGGUUUAUAUAAUUCCGACAUGACAUUACUAACAGCUGUGUUUAAUUAAGAUAAAGAUCAAGAUAUAUACUUUAAAGUAAUCAAGAUAGCCGUCAAGAAAGCAUACAUAUGUGCAAUUGUUUACAAUACAUGUCAAUUUGGGAUCAGCAUUAACAGGGUAUUUUGUUAACUAUAGUCAAUAAAAAUUUACAUAAAAUAGGUAAAUUAUCUGACGAUAACAUGAUCACAAAACGUUUCCUGUCGCAUGCGUGCGUAUGAUUAUACUGUGUUUAAUCAGAGACCACAUAUACUCAAACACAAAAGAAACUGGAAUGUUCUCAUUUAUCAUAAUGAGACAAACCUAAAACUCCUCUCUACUAAGUCUUAAAAAAUGAAUAAAUACAUCUAGUACUUGUGUUUCAUUUGGCUGACGAUAGGGUUUCCAAUGAUUUUAUUUAUUUCAAAAUUAAUAAAUAGACAAAUUCAAAAUUUCAAAUUAGAAUUCCGCCUUGCAUGGGUAAAUAUUUCGUUACUUACAUUCGCCGUUAGGGAAGAAAUCUUAGGCGUGGUUUUCACUUUGGUUCCAAGUAUAUUCAAAUGAUCACUGUCAUUUGCUAGUGGUUGAGCAUAUAUCGUGUAUGGUGUCAUGUUUAAUUUAAGGAACUUUUUAUUUGCUAAUGCAAGGAAAGCUAGUGUAUAGGCACCCGAAAUGACUGUGUUUUUAACAUAAAUGAAUUCAAGGGUUUUUAAUAGAAUCCCCUUUCUUUCACGAAUUAGGAUACGGUUAUGGCGCUUUUGUCUUUAUCUAACCGCGUGACGUUAACAACGUAAUAAUUCACCGUGUGAACUGACGGUAGACGUAUUAAGUGGUGGCUCAGGUACGCUGAGUUGCGUCCCUUUGUUGUGCCAGGAUACGAUGAUCGUGGGCUCAAAUCAUAGACUCUCCCUGAUUAUGAUGCUUGGAAUUGGAAUCGAAAUCCGUGGGUUUCCGAAACAGUUGUUCUAAGAACCAAUUUCUGCCAUAAUAUAUAUGAAUACCGUUUCAGUAUUAUGUAAAACAUGUCUCAUAUAAUACAUAUUGUAUAUCUGUGAUAUCAACCGAGAUACAGAUUAUUUAUGAUAAUAACUAUAACUGAGAUAUUGUUUGUCUGUGAUAAUAACCGAUAUAUUGUUUAUCGGUAAUUAUAGCCAAGAUAUGUUUAUCCGUGCUAAUACAAAUGCCGACAUACAGUUUUUCUGUGAAUACAGCCGAGAUGAUCGAGGCCAUACUGCGGUUCAUAAUUAUGAUAUUGAUGAAUAAUGUUGAGUAAUGUAGCUUGUGUGAUGUAAGUAUUGACAUGGUGUUUUCGUUUUCUGUUACAAUAAAGAUUAAA
This is a long non-coding RNA of Haliotis rufescens (red abalone), 1942 nucleotides long. RefSeq lists it as uncharacterized. The record is from RefSeq and is a predicted model, not a curated record. Lineage: Eukaryota; Metazoa; Mollusca; Gastropoda; Lepetellida; Haliotidae. The transcript has 3 exons.